Oryza sativa Japonica Group (Japanese rice) is the source of this 2707-nucleotide non-coding RNA. The record is from RefSeq and is a predicted model, not a curated record. Lineage: Eukaryota; Viridiplantae; Streptophyta; Magnoliopsida; Poales; Poaceae.
GAAAAGAACCCACCGCCGCCGAAAAAAAAAAGGGAAAACCUAUCCUCCUGCGCGGCGCCGCCCGCCGCUCGCCUCCUGCGCGCCCGCCGGCGCCGCUCCGCUCGCGUGGCUGCGCUCCCGAUUUCCCUACCCCGCCGCUGCCUCGGAUCGCCUGUGGCCGCCGCCUCCCGCCGGAGCCGUCGUCGUUGCCGAGGAAGCGGGCCGCAUCGCCGCCGCCGCCUCCUACGCGCGUAACGCGCCCGCCCCCCACCGCCCCGCAUCCCCCCUUCCCCUGCUGACGGGUGCUGCACCGUGCCGGCGCCGGAACGGCGAGGUUCACAUCCGUCCUGCUGCCUCCCCUCCCUUCUAGCCCUCCGCAGCCGCCGUCAUCAACGUCCUCCGCGGCAACCGCACGUCGCCGGGUCCGCCGCCACCACUGGAACGCCGCCCUUCCUCCAACCGCCCCUUCCAACCCCAUCGCCCCCUCCUCAGCUGAUCACCCCGCCGCCGCAGAAGGUUGUCAGGACGGCCGCCGGCGAGGCUUCCCGCUCCUCCAUCCUGUUCAGGUCAGCGGGCAGGCCGUGCUACACGUUCUUCGCUUCGCCGACGAUGGUGGUCAAGCAGUUUACUGCAGCAAAGUUGGUUCUACAUAUUGUGACAUCGAUCUCGUUCUUGGCUCUGAGAAUGGCACACCGCUCAUGAGUCAUGAUUGGCAUAUUCAGGAACUUAAAUUGUCCAUAAGGAAGCUUUACUAAGAAAUAAAGAAAAUCGCUCCAUGAUCUGAUGAUUGUUGAGGCUUGAUAGGUCUGCUCUCUUUCUCACACUGAAACUAAAAAAAAUCGCGUUGUUCCUAUUUUCUGAAUGUAUGUGUCCACUAUAUUAUCGACAAAGUAGACUAUUUGAUUACCUGGAACCCAAAUCACAAAUACUGGUAUGCAAUCUACAUUUGGCCAUAGGUUCAGUUCUUGCAGUUACUAAUUUACUCCGUUGCAACUGAAACACUCACAGAUUUUUAGUUGAUUAGCAUUUAGUCGUAAACUUAGAGGUAUAAUUGCUCAGCUGCUAAGAUCUGUUUUAUAGAUCAGUUAAUAAUUAAUUUCUUUUGGAUUCAGCAGUAGUGCCAGACCGAUUGGCAUGACAUGUUUGCCUCCAUUCAGUAAAAUUCAUCUGAAUUCAAAGUGUUCCAACUGUGGCGUUUUGCUUCUGAACAGCUCCCCAACUUGCACUUGAUGCGAUGGUUCUGUUUUGCUGCUAAAAGUCAGGUUCAAUUGAAUAUCUUUUAAUUUCAGAGCUGCAAGUACAUCUUCAAUUAAAUAACUUUUCUUUUCCUUUUCAUUUUCUGCUAAAAAGCUAGGUUCAAUUGAAUACCCUCUCCAACCUAAUUUUCUAUUUGCUCGGAUGUAUGUAUCUAUUAACUCAGAAAUGAAGAUGGCAGGAUAGCCUAGGUUUGGAGACUAUUUUUAGUUCACGACUUCAUAUAUCACUCGCUUAGAUUUUACUAAUCUUAAUUUGUUGAUAUGUGCAACCUAAUUUUCUAUUUUUUUUUCAGAUUUUUGUUCCUAUUAACUCUGAAAUGAACAUGGCAGGAUGACUUAGGUUCGGAGAUUUUUUUUAGUUCAGUUCAGGGCUUCAUGUAGCACUAGCUUAGAUUUUACUAAUCUCUAUCGAUAUGUCCAACCUAAUUUUCUAAUUGUUUAGAUUUUGCACCUAUUAACUCUGAGAUGAAACUGGUAUGAUGGCUUAGAUUUGGAGAUGUUUUUAAUUCUGGACUUCAUAUACCAAUCACUUAGAUUUUACUAAAUUUGGUUUAUAUUGUUACUAAAAUAUGUUGAUACAGUGAGUCCUGAAGACUAAGCUGAAGAUCACAAAUCAUCUACUGCCAUAGGAGUAAAAUAAACUAUAUUGCUCCAUAUUUCUCUAUAUUUGAUUAUAUCAAUGUAGGUUUCCAAAAGGAAAACAAUGGGUACUGUUUCUUUAGGGAAUAAAAAAGCAGUGCUUUCUGCAGUUCCUAUAGAAAUAGCUCAAUAUAUCUUAUUGCCUCUGUCAGGCAUUUCAAUUCAGCUGAGAUACAAUAUGUAGCAUCCACAACAGGUUGAAACGAGCUGAUUACUGACGGAUGAUCAGUGUCAAGUGAGCUAUACAAAAUAUAAUUUUCAAUUCCAACAAAUUGUGAAACUUUACCAUUUAAAUUUGCAGACAAACAAGUUACAUAUGUUAUACAUAUACAGCUAUGGCCAAGUUAUAUGUUUGGAUUAAUUAUUUUUUCCCAUGUAAAUCUAAUAAUGGCCUGGUAUAUAUGGAUGGUUGACAGCAGGGGAGAGCAGCAAAGCUGCUGCACCUGACCACUGCACAUCUUUGGCUCUUCCUUUCUGGCCACUCUAGGAGAUGGAUUACAAGCGAGGCAAGGGCUCCAGAUCAAUAUCAUCCAGAAGAAAGUAGUACUAAUUUAAAAAAAAACUUGUUAUUUUAUAUAUUGCACUACUUAUAAUUUAUAAUUUACAGAUGCCUAAAUAUAUAGGAUGUUGAUUUAUUAAUGUUUUUAUCACCGAACUACUCCACAGCUAAAUGCCAGAGAGGAUGGAUUUCUCAGCAAUUGUCUCCACAAUUCUGAAGCAGUGACCAUACUUAUAAAAUAGUUCAUGUAUUGAUAAAUUGGAUAUAUGUCAAAAUGUUCACUGAGUUAAAUGCUAGGAGCAAGUUGAAUAUAUUAAAGUUUUCAAGGGAAUCA